CUUAUAUGUUAAUUUUGAUUGGUUAUUAUUUUUGGAAAUUAAUAAUGUAUUUCGUUUUUUAAUUAAAUUUAAUUAAUUAAAUUAGUAUUUGACUUAAAGAGAUAAAUUAAUUUACUCUUUAAAUUUUAUUUCUAAUGGCAUACCUAUGUAAUUACUUACAAAAAUUAAGGUUACAUUUAAAAUGUACUUCCCAAAUAAUAUAGUAGGAUGUAGCGGCCUAUACAAUAUAUAGACCUAUUUCGGCCGCAAAUUACUCAAAGCUUCUCUUGUUUUGGUUUAGAUAUAGUCGGUUCUGAGUGCAUACCAUAAGAU
This 312-nucleotide small RNA is filed under the name Arabidopsis thaliana (thale cress). RNAcentral describes it as "ATSL020280". Lineage: Eukaryota; Viridiplantae; Streptophyta; Magnoliopsida; Brassicales; Brassicaceae. The record is from RNAcentral.